Molecule: ribosomal RNA, 496 nt
Rfam family: Bacterial small subunit ribosomal RNA
AAUUAACCUAACAAACCUAUCCGCCAGAGAACUACUAGCAACAGCUUAAAACUCAAAGGACUUGGCGGUGCUUCACAUCCCUCUAGAGGAGCCUGUUCUAUAAUCGAUAAACCCCGAUAAACCUCACCACCUCUUGCUAAUCCAGUCUAUAUACCGCCAUCUUCAGCAAACCCUUAAAAGGAAUAACAGUAAGCAAAAGUAUCUCAACAUAAAAAAGUUAGGUCAAGGUGUAACCUAUGAGGUGGGAAGCAAUGGGCUACAUUUUCUAUACAAGAACACUCCACGAAAGUUUUUAUGAAACCAAAAACUAAAGGAGGAUUUAGCAGUAAGCUGAGAAUAGAGCGCUCGGCUGAAUCGGGCCAUGAAGCACGCACACACCGCCCGUCACCCUCCUCAAGUAUUCAAACCCAAACAUAACAUAUUAAAACUACACUCAACACAAGAGGAGACAAGUCGUCAACAAGGUAAGCAUACUGGAAAGUGUGCUUGGAUCAAA